Molecule: ribosomal RNA, 340 nt
Filed under: Dermacentor reticulatus
Lineage: Eukaryota; Metazoa; Arthropoda; Arachnida; Ixodida; Ixodidae
Description: partial 12S small ribosomal RNA subunit
Source: RNAcentral
AUUAUUAAGGAGCUCUACAUUGUAAGUAUAUAAAUAUUAUGAAAGCAAAAAAUUAUGGCGGUAUCUUAAGCUUAUCAGAGGAAUUUGCUCUUUAAUGGAUAAAACACCUUAAUCUUACUUUAGUUUGUUAAAUCAGUUUGUAUACCACUAUUAAAAUAAUAAUAUACUAUUAUUAUUAUAAUAUAACUUUUUUAUAAAAAAUUAAGUCAAGGUGCAGCAUAAAUUAAAGUAUGAAGUGAAUUACAUUGCUUAUUAGAAAGUAUAAAUGAAAUGAUAAUUUAGGAUUUGAAAGUAAAAUUGAAAUAGAAAGUUAAUUUGAAUAAAGCUCUAGGAUAUGUAC